GAUGAACGCUGGCGGCGUGCCUAAUACAUGCAAGUCGAGCGAACAGACGAGGAGCUUGCUCCUCUGACGUUAGCGGCGGACGGGUGAGUAACACGUGGAUAACCUACCUAUAAGACUGGGAUAACUUCGGGAAACCGGAUCUAAUACCGGAUAACAUGUUGAACCUCAUGGUUCAACAGUCAACGACGUUCUUGCUGUCACUUAUAGAUGGAUCCGCGUCGCAUUAGCUAGUUGGUAAGGUAACGGCUUACCAAGGCAACGAUGCGUAGCCGACCUGAGAGGGUGAUCGGCCACACUGGAACUGAGACACGGUCCAGACUCCUACGGGAGGCAGCAGUAGGGAAUCUUCCGCAAUGGGCGAAAGCCUGACGGAGCAACGCCGCGUGAGUGAAGAAGGUCUUCGGAUCGUAAAACUCUGUUAGUAGGGAAGAAGAAAUGUGUAAGUAACUAUGCACGUCUUGACGGUACCAAAUCAGAAAGCCACGGCUAACUACGUG
Molecule: ribosomal RNA, 497 nt
Filed under: uncultured bacterium
Lineage: Bacteria
Description: partial 16S ribosomal RNA
Rfam family: Bacterial small subunit ribosomal RNA
Source: RNAcentral